This is a long non-coding RNA of Sardina pilchardus (European sardine), 306 nucleotides long. RefSeq lists it as uncharacterized. NCBI's taxonomy places the organism in Eukaryota, Metazoa, Chordata, Actinopteri, Clupeiformes, Clupeidae. The record is from RefSeq and is a predicted model, not a curated record. The transcript has 3 exons.
GCUCAGAUCGCUCCUGCUGAGACCAGUUGAGAAGUUGGUCCCUUGGCAAAAACAAAACACUUACGGACCAUUUGCCUUCCAUUAUGGCCAAUCAAAGACUAAAACAAAGGGUUCUCAGUGAAAUGGAAGAGAAUGCUGGGUGGGGCUGCCACACACCCUGGAGCCAAGACAUAACGGCAGGAAUCAACAACUCACCCUAAUCGUUUGAGAGGAUGCCAGAGAGAGGCCGAAAGAAAGCAAACAAGAACUAGAGCAAUUGAGCAUGCGAGAGGAGAGGAGAGGAGAGGAGAGGGGAGGCGGGUCAAC